GAACGUAUGGCUUAGUGGUCAGAGUGCCUGGUCGGCUACCAGGAGACGUGGGUUCGAGUCCCGCUACGUUCA
RNAcentral lists this transfer RNA (72 nucleotides) under Heliconius melpomene (postman butterfly). RNAcentral's name for it is "tRNA HMEL007809". It matches the Rfam family "tRNA". Rfam says of the family: Transfer RNA (tRNA) molecules are approximately 80 nucleotides in length. Their secondary structure includes four short double-helical elements and three loops (D, anti-codon, and T loops). Lineage: Eukaryota; Metazoa; Arthropoda; Insecta; Lepidoptera; Nymphalidae. The record is from RNAcentral.